Molecule: ribozyme, 115 nt
Filed under: Aedes aegypti (yellow fever mosquito)
Lineage: Eukaryota; Metazoa; Arthropoda; Insecta; Diptera; Culicidae
Description: drz-agam-1 ribozyme
Rfam family: drz-agam-1 ribozyme
Source: Rfam by way of RNAcentral
UGCCCAGCAACUCCUAUUCCUAACUCCUCGUGGUGCUGGCCGGGUUACGAGCAACUUUGGGGAAGAUCGGGUAACCAACAUCUAUGGGAACAUUGGUAUAUACUGACAGGGAAGC